UACGAAGGGGGCUAGCGUUGCUCGGAAUCACUGGGCGUAAAGGGUGCGUAGGCGGGUCUUUAAGUCAGGGGUGAAAUCCUGGAGCUCAACUCCAGAACUGCCUUUGAUACUGAAGAUCUUGAGUCCGGGAGAGGUGAGUGGAACUGCGAGUGUAGAGGUGAAAUUCGUAGAUAUUCGCAAGAACACCAGUGGCGAAGGCGGCUCACUGGCCCGGUACUGACGCUGAGGCACGAAAGCGUGGGGAGCAAAUGGG
Molecule: ribosomal RNA, 253 nt
Filed under: uncultured bacterium
Lineage: Bacteria
Description: partial 16S ribosomal RNA
Rfam family: Bacterial small subunit ribosomal RNA
Source: RNAcentral